UUUGAAAACCCCAACCAAAAAAAAAACUAAUUAAUUACUCAGAAGACUACGUGCAGUUCCUGCGACCACGUCUUACUUAGUAGUAUUAAUCUCCAUGUAAUCACAUUUCUCAUCUACCAACAAUAAAUAAUAAUCAAUCCCCAUUCAAAUAUUAAUCAUAUUAAAAAAGCUGCUCAUUUCCGCCGCCCUUCACUCCGCCUCUCUCGGCCGCCGAACCACAAUCCCACGCUACAAACAAACAAAGGAGAAACUUCACAAGCUCCACGAUAUUAGAGUAAAUACAAUAUUGAACGACAAAAAAUCGAAGCAUUACACGGUCUGAACUCUGAACUUCCAACCUCGGUUACGAGCUCCAAUGCUGUAGCGUUCGUGCUUUGAGCUCAUAAUUUCACCUGCGUUACGAAAAGGCGAUUGUGCGCUUUUUUUGAGUUACCGAGAAUUAACUCGGUUGUUUAGGUUUGGAAGUUUUUUAAGAUUUCACAAAGGCAAAAGAAGCAAAAAAGGAACCUUCGUGACGACGGGCUUACAGGUGUAAAGGGAGUUUGAGGAUGCGAAUCAGCCACGUAUACGUGAUGAAACUGAAUCAGGAGUCAGUGGCAUUGCAGAUAACAAGUGGUCCCUAGGAUUUCCAAAACAAAGAAUAAACCAACGGA
Non-coding RNA from Coffea arabica (coffee), 653 nucleotides. Lineage: Eukaryota; Viridiplantae; Streptophyta; Magnoliopsida; Gentianales; Rubiaceae. The record is from RefSeq and is a predicted model, not a curated record.